UUGCCCUAGUAACGGCGAGUGAAGCGGCAACAGCUCAAAUUUGAAAUCUGGCUUCGGCCCGAGUUGUAAUCUGGAGAGGAAGCUUUGGGCGCGGCGCCAACUGAGUCCCCUGGAACGGGGCGCCACAGAGGGUGAGAGCCCCGUAUAGUUGGACGCCUAGCCUGUGUAAAGCUCCUUCGACGAGUCGAGUAGUUUGGGAAUGCUGCUCAAAAUGGGAGGUAAAUUUCUUCUAAAGCUAAAUACCGGCCAGAGACCGAUAGCGCACAAGUAGAGUGAUCGAAAGAUGAAAAGCACUUUGAAAAGAGGGUUAAACAGCACGUGAAAUUGUUGAAAGGGAAGCGCUUGUGACCAGACUCGCGCCGGGCUGAUCAUCCGGUGUUCUCACCGGUGCACUCUGCCCGGCUCGGGCCAGCAUCGGUUCCUGCGGGGGGAUAAAGGCUCCGGGAACGUAGCUCCUCCGGGAGUGUUAUAGCCCGGGGCGCAAUGCCCCCGCGGGGACCGAGGACCGCGCUCUGCAAGGAUGCUGGCGUAAUGGUCACCAGCGACCCGUCUUGAAACACGGACCAAGGAGUCAAGGUUUUGCGCGAGUGUUUGGGUGUAAAACCCGCACGCGUAAUGAAAGUGAACGUAGGUGAGAGCUUCGGCGCAUCAUCGACCGAUCCUGAUGUAUUCGGAUGGAUUUGAGUAGGAGCGUUAAGCCUUGGACCCGAAAGAUGGUGAACUAUGCUUGGAUAGGGUGAAGCCAGAGGAAACUCUGGUGGAGGCUCGCAGCGGUUCUGACGUGCAAAUCGAUCGUCAAAUCUGAGCAU
This 809-nucleotide ribosomal RNA is filed under the name Thermothielavioides terrestris. Its description in RNAcentral is "partial 28S ribosomal RNA". It matches the Rfam family "Eukaryotic large subunit ribosomal RNA", at positions 75 to 918 of the family's 3401-position model. The record is from RNAcentral. Lineage: Eukaryota; Fungi; Ascomycota; Sordariomycetes; Sordariales; Chaetomiaceae.